Molecule: long non-coding RNA, 911 nt
Organism: Myotis brandtii (Brandt's bat)
Lineage: Eukaryota; Metazoa; Chordata; Mammalia; Chiroptera; Vespertilionidae
Exons: 2
Source: RefSeq, a predicted model, not a curated record
CUGUCCCGGCUCCGCAAACACGGGCUCCCCGCGGGCCUGCGCACCCAGCCGGGUGAGUCCCUGUUGGAAAGGACCAGGGCCGGCAGCGCUGGCUGCAGUCGUGCGCUUGUCAAUCAGUUACCUCCUCGUUCCCCAAGCUCACAGAACCCCCACCAAACACCUCUGAUGAAGGACUAGGCUUUAAUCCUCUUAGCAUCAGCAAGCACUGAGUAGGCUCGCAACCCCGAGUGGAGGCCUGGCUGGCGAAGUAGGAAGGAAUAACAGCCAUCCCAGAGGAAAGCCAUCCUUGGUUGGACCCAGUGAACUGGAAGCAGCAUCAAAAGUAAAUCAAUCCCCCAGAUGACACACUCCACCCGUCAGUGCAGCCACAGGAGAGAGAGUGAAUUCAAUCCAAAUGGUUAUUUAUUCUAAAACUGGAAGCUACUGUGCCUACAUAUUUGCCAGAAUGUUGUAAUGAGAACAGGGGAGGAAAAAGUUACAGAUGUAAACAAUGACACAGUUACAUUUUUUUAAAAAUGGUAAAACCCUUUUUUACUGGCCACUUCCAAGAAUGCUUUACAGGUUGUGCAAAAACAUUUACAGGCUCCAUGUGAUGUUUGUUUUUCUCACAAGCUUUUCCAUCUACAACUACAACAGAGGUCUGAUAAAACACUAAACAAAUCUAAGGAAAACAAGGCUAGGGAUCCCUUCUGUUAAUCCACAUUUGCCCCCUUAACAUUGUUUUUUUAAUAAUAAAAAGACAGAAACAAAACCCAGACAUCUAGUGUUGUUGUGAGUGAUCUCGGAUUAAACCAACAAGGACGUGGCAGUUUCACUUUCCACCCACCUAGAAAAACAGCUUUUUUUUUUAAAGGUGACUUUCUAGUGUCAAAAUUUAACAGCAAGUACCUCCCCUAAUCCUCCCUCCCCCC